Molecule: ribosomal RNA, 440 nt
Filed under: uncultured bacterium
Lineage: Bacteria
Description: partial 16S ribosomal RNA
Rfam family: Bacterial small subunit ribosomal RNA
Source: RNAcentral
CCUACGGGAGGCAGCAGUGGGGAAUAUUGGACAAUGGGGGGAACCCUGAUCCAGCGACGCCGCGUGAGUGAAGAAGUCUUUCGGUAUGUAAAGCUCUAUCAGCAGGGAAGAAAAAGACGGUACCUGACUAAGAAUCCCCGGCUAACUACGUGCCAGCAGCCGCGGUAAUACGUAGGGGGCAAGCGUUAUCCGGAUUUACUGGGUGUAAAGGGAGCGUAGUCGGUGAAGCAAGUCUGAUGUGAAAGGUCGGGGCUCAACCCCGGGACUGCAUUGGAAACUGUUGAACUUGAGUACAGGAGAGGUAAGCGGAAUUCCGAGUGUAGCGGUGAAAUGCGUAGAUAUUAGGAGGAACACCAGUGGCGAAGGCGGCUUGCUGGACUGUAACUGACGUUGAGGCUCGAAAGCGUGGGGAGCAAACAGGAUUAGAUACCCUAGUAGUC